RNAcentral lists this long non-coding RNA (409 nucleotides) under Citrus maxima (pomelo). RNAcentral's name for it is "long non-coding RNA (CMAX_LNC002771)". The record is from RNAcentral. Lineage: Eukaryota; Viridiplantae; Streptophyta; Magnoliopsida; Sapindales; Rutaceae.
UACAGAAAUUAAUGCAACAACAAAAAACUUUAUCGGAGAAAAUAGAAACAUUAAAGCAAUUAGACAAAAGUAUACACAUCCAAUUGUUGGAACUGAAAACCGAAUUAAAAGAAAUAAAAAACAGCUUAGAAGAAUUAAGGAAAGGUUUAACAUUUCACGUAAGCAUCCAACCAGAGAGCCAUGAUGAUUAAUAUACGGGAAUAAGCUUAGCAAUUACGUAAAAGAACAUUUAAUUAGAUUAAUUAGAUGGCAGGUUGAAUUACUUCACUCUUCUUAUGAAUUAUUUUCAAUAAAAGGUAAUAACAAUUGUCUUGCAGAUUUCUUGUCCAGAGAUGGAGGAGACAACUAACAUCCAAGAAUUAUCCGAAAGAUUUAAAGAGCUGCAAAAUUCAGUUGCAAUUAUGAAUCA